ACGUAGGGUGCGAGCGUUAAUCGGAAUUACUGGGCGUAAAGCGUGCGCAGGCGGUUUUGUAAGACAGGCGUGAAAUCCCCGGGCUCAACCUGGGAACUGCGCUUGUGACUGCAAGGCUAGAGUACGGGAGAGGGGGGUGGAAUUCCACGUGUAGCAGUGAAAUGCGUAGAGAUGUGGAGGAACACCAAUGGCGAAGGCGGCCCACUGGGUCGAUACUGACGCUCAGGCACGAAAGCGUGGGUAGCAAACAG
RNAcentral lists this ribosomal RNA (251 nucleotides) under uncultured prokaryote. RNAcentral's name for it is "partial 16S ribosomal RNA". It matches the Rfam family "Bacterial small subunit ribosomal RNA", at positions 525 to 775 of the family's 1533-position model. The record is from RNAcentral.